RNAcentral lists this ribosomal RNA (296 nucleotides) under Androctonus tihamicus. RNAcentral's name for it is "partial large subunit ribosomal RNA". The record is from RNAcentral. Lineage: Eukaryota; Metazoa; Arthropoda; Arachnida; Scorpiones; Buthidae.
ACUGGAUUGGAAGAGUAAACUAGGAGAUUUUUUUUUUAAUUGAGGGAAUAAAUUUUACUUUUUAGUAAAAAGGCUAAAAUAAGACUUUUAGACAAGAAGACCCUAUAAAACUUUAUAUUUUUUUGUUUUUAUUUAAAAGGAAAAAUAUUACACUGGGGCGGUGGAGGAAUUAGACUUCCUUUAAAAAAAUUAACAGGCUUGUUUUAAUACCUAAAAAUUUUAAAAAAGAAAUAAGUUACUUUAGGGAUAACAGCUUAAUUCACUUAAAAAGUUCUAAUCGACAAGUGAGUUUAUGA